This 332-nucleotide small nuclear RNA is filed under the name Cebus imitator (Panamanian white-faced capuchin). Its description in RNAcentral is "7SK RNA (ENSCCAG00000005827.1)". It matches the Rfam family "7SK RNA". From Rfam's summary of the family: 7SK was discovered as an abundant small nuclear RNA in the mid-70s but a possible function has only recently been suggested. Two independent studies have found that 7SK RNA binds the CDK9/cyclin T complex (known as elongation factor P-TEFb). The record is from RNAcentral. Lineage: Eukaryota; Metazoa; Chordata; Mammalia; Primates; Cebidae.
GGAUGUGAGGGCGAUCUAGCUGCGACAUCUGUCACCCAUUGACCGCCAGGGUUGAUUCAGCUGAUCUGGGUGGCUAGGUGGGUGUCCCCUUCCUCUGUCACUGCUCUGUGUGCAUCCCUUCCGAAGCUGUGCACUCUGGAAGAGGACAACCAUCCCGGAUAGAGGAGGGUCAGUCUUUGGUCAAGGCUAUAUGAGUAGCUGCAUUCCCCUGCUAGAACCUCCAAACAAGCUCUCAGGGUCCAUAAAAUAUCCAUAUAUUACCUGGGAGCUAUUCAUCCAUUAACUUAGCCAGUUGUUCCUAACUAAAGUGUCGUGACAUGCUGCUGUAGCUU